CUGGUCCCUAUGGUGGGCUGCCUGCCCUGAUUGAACUGGAUUAAAUCUGUGCUCUAGUGGGCAGGGCAGACCCCUGGGCUAAUAGGCCAAGGGAAGAACCUCAAUGACGCCCCUCUGGGUCUGUGUCAGCGUGCCUGGACCAGGUGAGAACAAUGGCCCCCACCGUCUCAGUCUCCAGAGAGGUCCCUACUCCCACCAAGAUGGCCCCAGAUUCCACCAGGUGCCACAGGAAAGGCUUUCUCAAGAAACAAUACUAGUUGGAUGGAACACUCACCUGGCAUGGAGUCAUCCCCAUUUUCUGCAUGGCGGUGGAGCGUGGGAACUGCAUCUAUUCAACGUGUCUCUUACACGCUGCCUCAGCAUGCUCUAGGAUCUCUAACUGAAUUUGUCAACAAGAGAGAGUAAAAACUGGAAGAAGACUAUGCUUUUAAAUGCUAAAGACAUUUUCCGCAAUUUUCUCACCAGAACUUUUGAACCUUCCCUAGAAUGUUCUGGAGCUGCAUUCUUAGACCUCCCCAUUGCCUCCACUUUCAUUUCACCCCAAGAGCUGUUAGUUAAUAAAAACGGACCUCUAGAGCAGAUCUUCUCAGACUUUAUAUGCAUAAAAAUACGUAUACAAAUGCCUUGGGGAUCUUGAAAAAAUGUAAUUUCUGAUUCAACAGGUCUAGGGUAGGACCUGAAGUUGUAUAUUUUGAAUAAGCACUGGGUAAUGCAGAUGCUGCUGGCCCAUGGACCACCCUUUGAAUAGCAUAACUCUAGAUCUGCUUUCAAGGAAAUAAAAUGGAAUUAACAUUUGUAAGUCACAACUUGAGUUAAAAAGCUCCAGGUAAUUUAAAGAUAUUGUUUUACCCAAUUUUCUUAAGAACCUACAAAAUGUGUAUUAUGUCCAGUUUACAGAGAAAACCAAAACUUACUUAGAUAUUUUAAUUUACUCCAUAUCACCUAGUUAAAAAUCACAAAACUAGAAUUGGAUCCCAGUUUCUGUGACCCCAAAAGUCUUCACCCUUCUGACAGACCAAACUGCCUCUUAGCACUGAUGUCACUCUGAGUGCGCUGACCUGCCGGGGUUUUCUAGUUCGUCAGAGCAUCCCAGGGAUGACUAAGCCAGCGUUUGAACCCCCUUUGCACCCAAACGUCAAUACUAUGAUAGCACAGUGAUUUUUACAAAGCCAUAAAUACAGAGGAACAAAGAGAAUAGAAUGGGAAAUCUUUGGAAUACAGGAAAGCAGACAGGCAGGUGGUAACUGCGCUGACAACCAGACAGCCGGGUCUAGGAGGCUGUGGGAGGAGCCGGAAGUCAGCUGACGGCACCGUGGGUGAUUCCUGAGUCUCUGAAAAGGCCGUCUUGAGAGUUUACACCCUUCGCCAGAAGGACGAAGUGCUAGAAUUUUUAGAGUGGCUCAGGGCCUCAACAAGCAGGGAAGAGGUUAAGCUGUAAAU
Molecule: long non-coding RNA, 1440 nt
Filed under: Equus asinus (donkey)
Lineage: Eukaryota; Metazoa; Chordata; Mammalia; Perissodactyla; Equidae
Description: lncRNA (ENSEASG00005031062.1)
Source: RNAcentral